This 457-nucleotide ribosomal RNA is filed under the name uncultured bacterium. RNAcentral describes it as "bacterial SSU rRNA". It matches the Rfam family "Bacterial small subunit ribosomal RNA", at positions 340 to 786 of the family's 1533-position model. The record is from RNAcentral.
UACGGGAGGCAGCAGUGGGGAAUAUUGCACAAUGGGCGAAAGCCUGAUGCAGCUAUGCCGCGUGUAUGAAGAAGGCCUUAGGGUUGUAAAGUACUUUCAUCGGGGAGGAAAAAACAAAACUAAUAAUUUUAUUUCUUGACGUUACCCGAAAAAGAAGCACCGGCUAACUCCGUGCCAGCAGCCGCGGUAAUACGGAGGGUGCUAGCGUUAAUCAGAAUUACUGGGCGUAAAGAGCACGUAGGUGGUUUUUUUAAGUCAGAUGUGAAAUCCCUGGGCUUAACCUAGGAACUGCAUUUUGAAACUGAAAUACUAGAGUAUCGUAGAGGGAGGUAGAAUUCUAGGUGUAGCGGUGAAAUGCGUAGAUAUCUGGAGGAAUACCUGUGGCGAAAGCGGCCUCCUAAACGAAUACUGACACUGAGGUGCGAAAGCGUGAGGGAGCAAACAGGGAUUAGAUACC